Molecule: non-coding RNA, 1535 nt
Organism: Macaca mulatta (Rhesus monkey)
Lineage: Eukaryota; Metazoa; Chordata; Mammalia; Primates; Cercopithecidae
Source: RefSeq, a predicted model, not a curated record
GACCUUGUGAUCCGCCCACCUCAGCCUCCCAAAGUGGUGGGAUUAUAGGGGUGAGCCAUGGCGCCUGGCCUGGGAUGCUUUCUUUUGUCCUGUAGGCAGCAACUUCUCCUGAUGGUGGAUUUCUAGUCUGUAGUUCUCUUGUUCCAACAGAAUGCUCUUGCUUAUUUCAUUUUUAGAUCCUUAAAAUCAGGGGGUCUACCUCUGGCUUCUGUUUGCUGAGGUUUCAUUAGCUUCUCUAGGUAGCUCUAUUGAAUGGGAUGAAAAACAACCUCUCUGCUGGCUCUUUCUCUCACACACGAAACUCACAUAGUGCCCAUGCUUGUCCGUGUGGUUCUUUGUGUUUAUUACAAAGAGGUGCCCGUUUCUCAAGAUACUUUAUUUCUGCCUAUGGGGAAAUUGUUGUAAUACACACCGGUUUUGUUAGAACAAGAACCUCUAUUGCCAUCUACCAGAAAGUAAACAUAGAAACUUAUGAUGACUACCAUGUGAUUAAAUGUUGACAUUAGAUGUUGUACCCUUGACAGCAUACAACUUGCACACCAUGCCUGGUGACCCUAGGCUCACACAUCGUAUACAAGAAACACAUGAUUUGCCUAGAUGAACUUUGGAAAUGAAAGCUGAUUCCAACACAGAAGCAAACUCUUCUUUAUCCAGCUUUCAUCAGUUAGGAGGAUUGCCUUACUCUCAGAGUAGUCUUCUUGAAGCUCUCUCUUGCCCUCAUGAGAAGACACUAAGGAUCAUGUGAAAGAGCUCCCUGAGGACAGAUUAAGAAGAGAUGAGUUAAAGCUGCAAAUACCAAGAUUUAAGAUGAAAUUAAGAAUGCUGAUCAACUAAAGGACCUUCACAUACAAAGGUUAUCCUGGAUUAUUCAGAUUUGGAUGGCAAAUUGUCUUUCUGCAAUUGUUUUAUGGCUGCCAUUGCAAUUAAGAAAUGGAAAAUAAAUUUCUGAAAUCCAACAAAGUCUGAUCUUAUCAGCAUCAGAACCAUGUAUGGAAGGAGAAAACAGAACUCACGCUUAAGAGGAUGGCCAAAUAGAAAGACCAGCCGAGUGGAAAAAGUCCUCCUAAGUGGAGCAGUUGAACCUUGGGAAUGUAUCAGCCUUAGAAAAUUGCAGCUGGAGACAUCUGUCAUUUCCCCUGGUAACCAGCAUUCUACCCUCUACCACCAUGGGAUCCACUGUUUUAGCUCCCACAGAUGAAUGAGAACAUGUGACAUUUGUCUUUCUGUGCCAAGAAGCUCCGUGGUUUUAGCUUUCACAUAUUGAUAGAUCUACAGUAUAUCUGGAACUGAUAUUUGCAUAUGAUGUGAGGCAGAAGCUCAAGAUCCACAUUUUCACCUGUGUUUACCCAACUGAUUCAUAUCCAGUUGACCCAGGAACACUGACUAAAAAGAAUAUCCUUUUCCUAACUAAUCGUGUGUUACUUUUAUCAUACAUCAAGUGGACUCUUUUCUUUUCCACUGACUAAUAUCUAUCCUUUCACCAAUUCUCUUAAUUACUGCAGCAAUAUAAUAAAUCUUGAUACCUGAAAGUGAAA